This 1481-nucleotide ribosomal RNA is filed under the name metagenome. RNAcentral's name for it is "bacterial SSU rRNA". It matches the Rfam family "Bacterial small subunit ribosomal RNA". The record is from RNAcentral.
AGAGUUUGAUCCUGGCUCAGGAUGAACGCUAGCGGCAGGCUUAAUACAUGCAAGUCGAGGGGCAGCACGAAUAGCAAUAUUUGGUGGCGACCGGCGCACGGGUGCGUAACACGUAUGCAACCUUCCUUCAACUGGGGAAUAGCUCACCGAAAGGUGAAUUAAUACCCCAUAAUAUUCGAGAGUGGCAUCACUUUCCAAUUAAAGAAUUUCGGUUGAAGAUGGGCAUGCGCAACAUUAGCUAGUUGGUGAGGUAACGGCUCACCAAGGCUACGAUGUUUAGGGGAUCUGAGAGGAUUAACCCCCCACACUGGUACUGAGACACGGACCAGACUCCUACGGGAGGCAGCAGUAAGGAAUAUUGGACAAUGGGCGCAAGCCUGAUCCAGCCAUGCCGCGUGCAGGAUGACGGCCCUAUGGGUUGUAAACUGCUUUUAUACGGGAAAAAACCCUCGCUCGUGAGCGAGGCUGAUGGUACCGUAAGAAUAAGGAUCGGCUAACUCCGUGCCAGCAGCCGCGGUAAUACGGAGGAUCCAAGCGUUAUCCGGAUUUAUUGGGUUUAAAGGGUGCGUAGGCGGAUUCGUAAGUCAGUGGUGAAAUCCUGCAGCUCAACUGUAGAACUGCCAUUGAUACUGCAAGUCUUGAGUACAUAUGAUGUGGGCGGAAUGUGUAGUGUAGCGGUGAAAUGCUUAGAUAUUACACAGAACACCGAUUGCGAAGGCAGCUCACAAAACUGUAACCGACGCUGAGGCACGAAAGCGUGGGGAGUGAACAGGAUUAGAUACCCUGGUAAUCCACGCCUUAAACGAUGAUUACUCGAUGUGUGCAAUACACCGUACGCGUCCUAGCGAAAGCGUUAAGUAAUCCACCUGGGGAGUACGAUCGCAAGGUUGAAACUCAAAGGAAUUGACGGGGGCCCGCACAAGCGGAGGAGCAUGUGGUUUAAUUCGAUGAUACGCGAGGAACCUUACCUGGGCUUGAAAGUUAGUGACCGGUGGUGAAAGCCACUUUUCCGCGAGGACACGAAACUAGGUGCUGCAUGGCUGUCGUCAGCUCGUGCCGUGAGGUGUUGGGUUAAGUCCCGCAACGAGCGCAACCCCUAUCUUUAGUUGCCAGCGAGUAAUGUCGGGGACUCUAGAGAAACUGCCCGUGCAAACGGUGAGGAAGGUGGGGAUGACGUCAAGUCAGCACGGCCCUUACGUCCAGGGCUACACACGUGCUACAAUGGCGAGUACAAAGGGCAGCUACACAGUGAUGUGAUGCUAAUCUCUAAAGCUCGUCUCAGUUCGGAUUGAAGUCUGCAACUCGACUUCAUGAAGCUGGAUUCGCUAGUAAUCGUAGAUCAGCAAUGCUACGGUGAAUACGUUCCCGGGCCUUGUACACACCGCCCGUCAAGCCAUGGAAGUUGGGAGUACCUGAAGUCCAUCACCGCAAGGAGUGGCCUAGGGUAAAACCAAUGACUGGGGCUAAGUCGUAACAAGGUA